Long non-coding RNA from Mercenaria mercenaria, 836 nucleotides. RefSeq lists it as uncharacterized. The record is from RefSeq and is a predicted model, not a curated record. NCBI's taxonomy places the organism in Eukaryota, Metazoa, Mollusca, Bivalvia, Venerida, Veneridae. The transcript has 4 exons.
UGAUGAUAGCCGUCCAGAGGUUAAUGGAUCAGUAUUGCUGGAAACAGAAUCUACUGAUUCUGUCACAUUGUCUGUUCUUGCUACAGAUACAGGGUCUGGAGUGAAACAUGUUGAUAUAUUUGAACUGCAAGGCAAUAGUUUAAGCUUGCUCCAAGGUGGUGUUACGGAGAAUAUUUUCUUGUAAAGUUGAAGCUAGGAGAGUCAAAACGAUUACUUCCAGUAGCCAUUGAUCACGUCGGAAACCGACCAAAACUCACAGAAAUUGAAAAAGAAAAUGCUAUUAAUGUGACAUCUACAAUUCAGAGUGGUACUUGUGAUUGUUCUGGACACGGCAACUGCAGUGCAAGAAUGCAAGUUUGUCUAUGUGAUGAAGGAUUUUACGGGCCGUCCUGUAAUUCCACUUCCCCACCACCAGAACCUCCACUGCUGGAACUUAAAUCUAAGGCAGGAUUUAUAACGAACCAGUUGAACUCACAAUAUCAGCAAGAAUCUUUCUGGAUGUUUAGAUGAGAUUCAGAUUUUCCUGUCCGGGAUGCCAGAUGGUACGUCAUUUUCGAAAGGCAUAGUUCAAAAUGAUAGCACCAUCCUACUUUUGAGUACCGAUUUUGGACAGCUGAAUAUGACCACAAAUAGCACAGGCGAACAUAGUUUGAAAAUCCUUGUGACCCAGUUUACGAAUGGAACAAACUUCACUAGAUCCGGUGAACUUCAGAUUAUGAUUUAUCCAAGAUCGAAAAUGCCUCGUUCGAGUUUGAUGGUUGUUUCUCAGAGGACAGUAAGGGUGAAAUAGUGGCCCGACUCAAUUCCUCAGUCAUUCUUCUCUCAGUGAACAACAG